AACGGAAAUAUUUAUAACACCAGUUUUGUUGUAGCGAAGACCCCGAAACAAUGUGGGCGCUCAAAGAUUGAGGCCAGCAAAUUCUGGUAUAUGAAUGUAAUGGACUGUUAUUGUGCCAUAAGAAAUUGAAUUUCCAAGCAACUUACUUGGUAAGACUUGAAUCAACUCAGAUGUGGAGCAAAAGCUGCCCCAAGAGAACACAGAAUGCAAAGACCGUAGUAAGGGUCACACUAACAUGGUUCCUUCCAAGGUUGGAAAAACCUCACCCAAUCCCUCAGAAUCAUACCCUUUGUGCCUGAGGAGACCACUCAUGUCAUCUCAUCUUUGCCUGUCAAGGUUGUUGAUGCAUUGGGACAAAUUGAGCAUUCUACACAAAGCAGAGACAAAGUAAGGCCUCCAUUUCCUCAUUUGUCAAUGAGCUCUCAAAUCACUUCCUGGUCUGAAUCCUCUGAUCCUAUCUAUGUUGCUAGGGUUCUCCUCCCACCGCUCUGACUGGUCCUUCUCAGCCUGCUUUUCGGGAUGGUCAUUCAGGUCCUGUCACCUUCACCAUGGACGUAAUUCAAGGAACUGGCCUGAAUUCUAUUAUCUUCUCUCUCUACCAUCUCUCCCUUGGUGAUCUCAUCAGCUUCUGCCGGUUCACUUAUCAUCUCAACAAAGAGGUCUGAGGGUGCUGGGGCCUGAGAAUGCCAAGGCAGAGUCGCCUGGAAUGAAUUCACACACUCAAGCCAUCUUUCAGUCAAGAGGCAUAUUCUAACGUCAAUAGUAGCGGGUAGAGUUCCUUUUGAGAACUUGCAACCUAAGCUCUAGUGAAUCUAGAGUUUAUAUAGAAAAGAGGCAUGGGAAAGGAAUGCCAGGAAUGCUAAUUAGGUACUCUAAGGGUCAAGACUCCUCAGUUCCACCUCCCCAACAUAGCUCUGUUCUCCCCACUCACCACAUCCAACCGAGUUCAGCCCCUCACAAUUCUUCUCACCUGGACUACUGCAGGAAGCUCCUAAUUGGUUUCUGUGCCCUCCCCCCGCCCCUAUUCAUCUGUCAUCCAUUCUCCACACAGCCUCCUGAAGUGCAGGUCUGACCAUGCUGCCUGCUUUUGAGCAACUCUAGUGGUCCGUUGUUACUUAGAGCAAAGCUUCUUAAACUUUUUCCACUCUUGUCUGCUUUCCACCCAAGAAAUUUUUACGAGACCCUGGGUAUAUAGGUAUACAAAAAGGUAUACAAAUCAAACAUUUACUGAUAA
Vombatus ursinus (common wombat) is the source of this 1234-nucleotide long non-coding RNA. RefSeq lists it as uncharacterized. The transcript is spliced from 5 exons. The record is from RefSeq and is a predicted model, not a curated record. Lineage: Eukaryota; Metazoa; Chordata; Mammalia; Diprotodontia; Vombatidae.